Chenopodium quinoa (quinoa) is the source of this 752-nucleotide long non-coding RNA. RefSeq lists it as uncharacterized. The transcript has 3 exons. The record is from RefSeq and is a predicted model, not a curated record. Lineage: Eukaryota; Viridiplantae; Streptophyta; Magnoliopsida; Caryophyllales; Amaranthaceae.
ACUCCGUAUGAAAAUGCGCUUAAAGUUCACUUUCCUCAGACCUCACUACUCAGUUCUCUCUCCUCUCUCUUUCUCUCCUUCUCCCUCUUCUCUUCCUCAAAGACGAAGGCAACCAUCGCCGCAGCCGCAACCACAUCCACAACCACCAUCGCUCACAAAUCAAAUUCUCUUUCUUUCUUCUCCCUCCUCAUUCACUGAUGGUCAUGGCGGUGAUUGUGGUCGCGAGUGAUAACGACGGUGCGGUUUGAUUUUUAGGGUUUUGAUUGGUGUUCAUGCGAUGGUGAGUUUCGAUUUCUAAUUGAUGGCGGUGGUGGAGAGUUGCUGAACUAACGUCGCUCAAACUCCAGCUUUGUGCCCUGAUCUUUGAGAUGAUGUUGGUGUAAACAAUUACUUGAGCACAUCAACGAUUGCUAUGACAAGAGUUGGACUCGAUUAAGGAAACUUUGAACACUGAGUUGCAAAGAGCUCCAGCAGCAUUCAACAUCAUCAAGUACUAGUAAAAUAGGUGGAUACUGAAGUUGAAGAAGGUGCUUCCCAAAUUGCUUUACUUGAGAAAUUGGAGAAGUGGGAGAAAGAAAUGAUAAUGCGGUCCAAAAAUUGAUGAAAAUAUGGUUUGGGGGACAAAAUGAUUUUGUUUUAACAUUUUAAUUGUUUUUUUCUUAGUUUAACUAGUGAUGGUUUAAUUAUGGAAUUUUUCUUAUAGAUAACAAUGUACAAACUUUUAAUUUAUGUUAAUAAAUUCUGGUUUUUUU